RNAcentral lists this long non-coding RNA (210 nucleotides) under Ricinus communis (castor bean). Its description in RNAcentral is "long non-coding RNA (RCOM_LNC002071)". The record is from RNAcentral. Lineage: Eukaryota; Viridiplantae; Streptophyta; Magnoliopsida; Malpighiales; Euphorbiaceae.
UUCAAUUACACAUACUAAACAUAUGCUCUUACAAUCCUAGGACUCCAGUCGUCAGACAACAGAAACAACGACAGAGAAUUGGCCUGAUGUAUAUAUGCACCAUAUGCGACCCAUUUAUUUGCUUUGUAGAUAUAACUUUUCUCUACCACUGUACCUAUAUAUUGACCCUUAAUUACAGUACGGUGGGAAGCAUCCUCCUCCUGGACUUCU